UUGUAGUCUCUUUCGGCACAGUCGAGGGUGUCUGAAAAAGAAAAAAAGGGAAACAUGGUCACAUUUAAGGUAUGUUGGUGCUCCACUGGAGUGAUUGUAGAGUGUGAUGUGCGGGCUCCCACUCGUGGUACGCGAAAGAAUCACUGCACAGGCAGGGGGCAGAGCUCCGCGGGUCCCAGAUGCGAAUGGUGCCGUCCGCUGAGCACGAGGCCAGCCGAUGGUGGACAGCGGAAUAUCUUAUUUAAGGUAGCUGGUGACCAUCCUGCGCAGCUGACUCACUGACCGUAGUUGUCGUAAGGAUCUACAUUGAAGUCUGGCAUCUUCCAACACCUUACGCUUCCAUCCAGGCCUCCACUAUAGCAGGAUUCUCC
Molecule: long non-coding RNA, 371 nt
Organism: Hippocampus zosterae (dwarf seahorse)
Lineage: Eukaryota; Metazoa; Chordata; Actinopteri; Syngnathiformes; Syngnathidae
Exons: 3
Source: RefSeq, a predicted model, not a curated record